RNAcentral lists this ribosomal RNA (498 nucleotides) under uncultured bacterium. RNAcentral's name for it is "partial 16S ribosomal RNA". It matches the Rfam family "Bacterial small subunit ribosomal RNA", at positions 30 to 523 of the family's 1533-position model. The record is from RNAcentral.
AUUGAACGCUGGCGGCAUGCUUUACACAUGCAAGUCGAGCGGUAACAGGCCGCAAGGUGCUGACGAGUGGCGAACGGGUGAGUAAUGCAUCGGAACGUGCCCAGUCGUGGGGGAUAACGCAGCGAAAGCUGUGCUAAUACCGCAUACGAUCUAUGGAUGAAAGCGGGGGACCGUAAGGCCUCGCGCGAUUGGAGCGGCCGAUGUCAGAUUAGGUAGUUGGUGGGGUAAAGGCUCACCAAGCCAACGAUCUGUAGCUGGUCUGAGAGGACGACCAGCCACACUGGGACUGAGACACGGCCCAGACUCCUACGGGAGGCAGCAGUGGGGAAUUUUGGACAAUGAGCGCAAGCCUGAUCCAGCAAUGCCGCGUGCAGGAAGAAGGCCUUCGGGUUGUAAGCUGCUUUUGUACGGAACGAAAAGGUUUGGGUUAAUACCCUGGGCCGAUGACGGUACCGUAAGAAUAAGCACCGGCUAACUACGUGCCAGCCGCCGCCGUAA